AAUGCCAUCCAAAUUAUUGACACCUGUUUGGGAAAAGAUACAAAAUAAAAUUAGGACAGAUCACUGUGUUAUCUGUUAGAACUAUCAAAAAGGAGAAACAUCACUGACUCUUGUUCAGAGGCACAGGGCCAGGACCUUUCACAGUAACCAUUCAGUGAUGGCUGCCUUGCACAUGGCUUGGCAAUAUUUUGUAUUCCUAGAGUUGUGCUGUCUGACCCAGCAGCUUGAGUCUCAGAUAUAGAGCUAGGUAAAAUGCAUCCAAGUGUGUUCCGAGGGCGUGCAUAGCCAUCUUAACAUUGGCAGUAUUUAUAGUCUGAACUGGAAGCUGCCCAAAUGGUCCUCAGCAGUGCAGAAACUGUGCAUUACUGUGAGUAAUGAACUGAACAGGACAAUACAAUGACUCUCAAGUCAGUGUUAAGAGAAAGAAGCCCAACACAGUCAUCUGGACAUCACGUUUCUACAGAGCUCAGCACGAUGAGCAUAGUCCUGGCGUUAGAGUGAAGCUGGUAAUUAACCGUUGGUUAGCGUGGGUGUUAGUGCCUGAGGAGAUGGGAGAAGCAACUUUCUCAUUACCCAGAUGGUAGUUAUGUGAGUGGUUCACAUUGUGACAGUAUAGCCCAAUAUCCCUAGUGUUUGACCAAUGUUUUGUUUGCUAUAGUCAGAAAAUAAUUUACUUAGUAAAAAAAAAAAAAAAA
Molecule: long non-coding RNA, 695 nt
Filed under: Rattus norvegicus (Norway rat)
Lineage: Eukaryota; Metazoa; Chordata; Mammalia; Rodentia; Muridae
Description: long non-coding RNA NONRATT013822
Source: RNAcentral